ACACUCCUACGGGAGGCAGCAGUGGGGAAUAUUGCACAAUGGGCGCAAGCCUGAUGCAGCCAUGCCGCGUGUGUGAAGAAGGCCUUCGGGUUGUAAAGCACUUUCAGCGGGGAGGAAGGCGAUACGGUUAAUAACCGUGUUGAUUGACGUUACCCGCAGAAGAAGCACCGGCUAACUCCGUGCCAGCAGCCGCGGUAAUACGGAGGGUGCAAGCGUUAAUCGGAAUUACUGGGCGUAAAGCGCACGCAGGCGGUCUGUCAAGUCGGAUGUGAAAUCCCCGGGCUCAACCUGGGAACUGCAUUCGAAACUGGCAGGCUUGAGUCUUGUAGAGGGGGGUAGAAUUCCAGGUGUAGCGGUGAAAUGCGUAGAGAUCUGGAGGAAUACCGGUGGCGAAGGCGGCCCCCUGGACAAAGACUGACGCUCAGGUGCGAAAGCGUGGGGAGCAAACAGGAUUAGAAACCCUAGUAGUCCCAUG
This 475-nucleotide ribosomal RNA is filed under the name uncultured organism. RNAcentral describes it as "partial 16S ribosomal RNA". It matches the Rfam family "Bacterial small subunit ribosomal RNA", at positions 333 to 799 of the family's 1533-position model. The record is from RNAcentral.